GUGCAGUCCUGGAAGUCAGAAGGCAGCAUGGGGCUCAGCAGGCUUCCGCCAAGGUGCCAGCUGUGCUGUGUGCCUCUCCGGAGGCUCUCAGAGAGAGCACUUUCUGUCCUCGUCAGCUGCUGGAGCUGCUCACACGGGCUUGUGCCCCUUCCUCCACCUUUGAGGCAGGUGGUGGGUGACAGAGUUACUCAUGCUUCCUUCUCUGACACUGAAACUUAUGCUUUCUUCUCCAUUUAAGGACCUUUAUGACAACAUCAGGCUCACCCAGAUGAUCCAGGAUAAUCUACUUCAGCGUCAGAGGAUUCGGGCUAGACCCAUGGCUUGGAGGUUAAGGGAGCCACAUACAUAGUCAGCUUUGGUUUGAAUCCUGGCCCUAGCAGCUUCAGGAACAUAGCAGGUUUUUCUUGUUUACGGAAGUGAUAGAAGUUAAUCAUAGAAACAUGUGACAAAUAUGGAAAACCACAAAGAAGAAGCAAAUGGCAUAUUACUCUACCAUUCUGAGCCAACCCUUUGGGGAUCACAUGCUGGUCACAGGGAAUAACAGCCACCUUCCACCUCAUCUGCAACAUUCCUUCCAUCCAGCCCAGGGUAUUAUGGAAAGGAGGGGGUGAGAGAGAGAGAGACAGACAGACAAACAGAAAGAGAGGCAGCCUCCUCCUACUGUGAUCCACCACCGAUCUCAGCUGGCUUGGAUCAUGGGCACACGUGUGCAUUCCCAGCAGGCUCAGAGGGGUUCCGGGACGUGAACCCAGGACCUUUCCCAUGUGAGUUUAGUUAUAUUACUGCUGUGCUGACCCCAGCGUUCAUGAUGUAUUAUUAGGUGAGCAAAGUAAGCUGUGGAAUAAGGUUCUUAUGCUUCCAUACUUACAGAAGGAAACAUCAGAACGCCCUGAGUGUGCACAUAGGCAGCCAUGUCUAAUUGUGUAAGUCUGGAUAGAGGCAUUAUCUCAGGGAAGUAAGAACAGAGGAAUUUUAGAAAAAGAAAUAACUUCAUUUAUAUAAGCAUGCAUUGUUUUAUUUAGUUAAAUAAGCAUUAAUUUCUGCAACUUGAAAUUUGGUUUUUACAUACAUUAAAGGAACUAUUUAUUAAAUCAGAUAACACCAGGAAGAAGAAGCCAUAAAAAUGCCAUGAUCAUUUCAUAACCUAUUCUAUAAUGUAGAACUGUAUUUUAAAGUCACCUGAAGAAAAGUAUUAAAGCUCUUCCCUCAUGGAUCUUUGGGAGAAGUGACAGCACAGCAUGUCAGUACAGGGCCUGUGUGUCCCCAGUCAUCACCGCAUGUGUGCAGGGCACUUUUAGCUCCAUUUGAGAAGUCACGGGCCAGCUCCAUCCACCUCAUCCUCUUCUUUCCCAAAGCUGGAUUUUUCAGCUCCACUGACACUUAAUGUCAUAUUCCCUCUGUCACUUCACAAAAUCUAUGGCCCUGACCCUCUUCGAAACAUGUCACUUCACAUACGGCAAGCUUUUAGCUUUGUGGUUUUGAGUGUUGACCCUAUCGCUGAGUGCCUGGCUUUAACUCCCAGCUCAGCUACGUGUGAGCUGCUUGACUCGGGCAAGUUACUUAAUCUCUCUGCACGUCACGGAAUGGGCCCGCUACACACAGGGUCUUGGGAGAAUUAAACAAGUCAGUACAUGUGGCAGCAUGUCCGCAUAUAUUGUUACAUGGCCUGCUGUCACUAGCACUCAUCUUUCCGGGAUCCGUUUUGGCACUGCCUUUAUCUAGGACACAGUCUUUCCUGAACUCCCAGGAGUAAUUGGCUACUCCUUCCUUCCUGCUCCACAGGCAGCCUGCACAGUUGGCUGGCUACCCUUUAUUAUGUAAUCCUAUCUACCUACCAUCUAUCUAUCUAUCUACAUCUAUUUAAUUUUAAU
Molecule: long non-coding RNA, 1871 nt
Organism: Tupaia belangeri chinensis (Chinese tree shrew)
Lineage: Eukaryota; Metazoa; Chordata; Mammalia; Scandentia; Tupaiidae
Exons: 4
Source: RefSeq, a predicted model, not a curated record